AGCGAACGCUGGCGGCAGGCUUAACACAUGCAAGUCGAGCGGGCGUAGCAAUACGUCAGCGGCAGACGGGUGAGUAACGCGUGGGAACGUACCUUUUGGUUCGGAACAACCCAGGGAAACUUGGGCUAAUACCGGAUAAGCCCUUACGGGGAAAGAUUUAUCGCCGAAAGAUCGGCCCGCGUCUGAUUAGCUAGUUGGUGAGGUAACGGCUCACCAAGGCGACGAUCAGUAGCUGGUCUGAGAGGAUGAUCAGCCACAUUGGGACUGAGACACGGCCCAAACUCCUACGGGAGGCAGCAGUGGGGAAGUAUUGGACAAUGGGCGCAAGCCUGAUCCAGCCAUGCCGCGUGAGUGAUGAAGGCCCUAGGGUUGUAAAGCUCUUUUGUGCGGGAAGAUAAUGACGGUACCGCAAGAAUAAGCCCCCGGCUAACUUCGUGCCAG
Molecule: ribosomal RNA, 441 nt
Filed under: uncultured bacterium
Lineage: Bacteria
Description: bacterial SSU rRNA
Rfam family: Bacterial small subunit ribosomal RNA
Source: RNAcentral